RNAcentral lists this ribosomal RNA (524 nucleotides) under uncultured bacterium. RNAcentral describes it as "partial 16S ribosomal RNA". It matches the Rfam family "Bacterial small subunit ribosomal RNA", at positions 28 to 523 of the family's 1533-position model. The record is from RNAcentral.
GACGAACGCUGGCGGCGUGCCUAAUACAUGCAAGUCGAGCGCAGGAAAUCAUCCGAACCUUUCGGGGGGACGUUGAUGGAAUGAGCGGCGGACGGGUGAGUAACACGUAAAGAACCUGCCCUCAGGUCUGGGAUAACCACGAGAAAUCGGGGCUAAUACCGGAUGGGUCAUCGGACCGCAUGGUCCGAGGAUGAAAGGCGCUUCGGCGUCGCCUGGGGAUGGCUUUGCGGUGCAUUAGCUAGUUGGUGGGGUAAUGGCCCACCAAGGCGACGAUGCAUAGCGGACCUGGGAGGGUGAUCGGCCACACUGGGGCUCAGACACGGCCCAGACUCCUACGGGAGGCGGCAGUAGGGAAUCUUCCACAAUGGACGAAAGUCUGAUGGAGCAACGCCGCGUGAACGAUGAAGGCCUUCGGGUCGUAAAGUUCUGUUGUAAGGGAAGAACAAGUGCCGCAGGCAAUGGCGGCACCUUGACGGUACCUUGCGGGAAAGCCACGGCUAACUACGUGCCAGCAGCCGCCGUAA